UUUCCUCUUCACCUCGCCGGAACUCCGACGAUCUCCUCCCAACUCCGAUCAUUGGAACCCUAAAGAAACCUCGAAAUUCGUGCCAAAAUUUGCACAACAUGGGGAAUAAGAUCGCGAAAACAACGCAAGCAUCAGCGAUGGAGUAUUACCUACACGGAUGGAGUAUUACCUCCACGACUUACCGUCAUCGUAUAAUUUAGUACUGAAAGAAGUACUAGGUCGAGGUCGAUUUUUGAAAUCGAUUUUGUGUAAACAUGAUGAAGGACUUGUACUUGUUAAGGUGUAUUUCAAGAGAGGAGAUUUCAUUGAUUUACGUGA
This 318-nucleotide long non-coding RNA is filed under the name Capsicum annuum. Its description in RNAcentral is "long non-coding RNA (CANN_LNC007591)". Lineage: Eukaryota; Viridiplantae; Streptophyta; Magnoliopsida; Solanales; Solanaceae. The record is from RNAcentral.